CGGGGUGUAGCGCAGCUUGGUAGCGCGCGUCGUUCGGGACGACGAGGCCGCAGGUUCGAAUCCUGUCACCCCGACCA
Molecule: transfer RNA, 77 nt
Filed under: Verrucomicrobiales bacterium
Lineage: Bacteria; Pseudomonadati; Verrucomicrobiota; Verrucomicrobiia; Verrucomicrobiales
Description: tRNA-Pro
Rfam family: tRNA
About the family: Transfer RNA (tRNA) molecules are approximately 80 nucleotides in length.
Source: RNAcentral